Molecule: unclassified non-coding RNA, 350 nt
Filed under: soil metagenome
Description: partial contains 5.8S ribosomal RNA, internal transcribed spacer 2, and large subunit ribosomal RNA
Rfam family: 5.8S ribosomal RNA (bases 1-120)
Source: RNAcentral
GAUGAAGAACUCAGCGAACUGCGAUAAGUAAUGUGAAUUGCAGAAUUCAGUGAAUCAUCGAGUCUUUGAACGCACAUUGCGCCCCCUGGCAUUCCGGGGGGCAUGCCUGUCCGAGCGUCAUUGCUGCCCUUCAAGCCCGGCUUGUGUGUUGGGUCGUCGUCCCCCCCGGGGGACGGGCCCGAAAGGCAGCGGCGGCACCGCGUCCGGUCCUCGAGCGUAUGGGGCUUUGUCACCCGCUCGAUUAGGGCCGGCCGGGCGCCAGCCGGCGUCUCCAACCUUCUAUUUUACCAGGUUGACCUCGGAUCAGGUAGGGAUACCCGCUGAACUUAAGCAUAUCAAUAAGCGGAGGA